This 490-nucleotide ribosomal RNA is filed under the name uncultured bacterium. RNAcentral's name for it is "bacterial SSU rRNA". It matches the Rfam family "Bacterial small subunit ribosomal RNA", at positions 28 to 514 of the family's 1533-position model. The record is from RNAcentral.
GACGAACGCUGGCGGCGUGCUUAAUACAUGCAAGUCAACUUGACUUUAGAUAGCAAUAUCGAAAAGUAGGGUGGCGCACGGGUGCGUAACGCGUAGGUAAUCUGCCCUGAGGUCUGACAUAACCCGUCGAAAGGCGGGCUAACAUCAGAUGAUAUAUAAUCACGACAUCGUGGAAAUAUCAAAUCUUCGGAGCCUUGGGAUGAGCCUGCGUCUGAUUAGGUAGUUGGCGGAGUAAUAGCCCACCAAGCCUACGAUCAGUAGCUGGUCUGAGAGGAUGAUCAGCCACACUGGAACUGAGACACGGUCCAGACUCCUACGGGAGGCAGCAGUAAGGAAUAUUGCUCAAUGGGGAAACCCUGAAGCAGCAACGCCGCGUGAAGGAUGAAAUACUUUGUAUGUAAACUUCUGUAAGAAUGGGAAAAAAUAUUUACUCCUUCGGGAGAAUUGAUUGUACCAUCAGAGUAAGCCCCGGCUAACUACGUGCCAGCAC